Molecule: long non-coding RNA, 1132 nt
Organism: Drosophila subpulchrella
Lineage: Eukaryota; Metazoa; Arthropoda; Insecta; Diptera; Drosophilidae
Exons: 3
Source: RefSeq, a predicted model, not a curated record
GGAGUGUAUAAAUACGUAUUUGGAGGGGCGAGACCAGAACUUUUGGAAAGUGUGCCGAAUCUUUACGUAAAUGAUUCAAUUGUCUUAUCAUUUGUGUUAAGUUAUUUAAAGAUGACUAUAUACUUGAACAACAUCGCAUAUUUGACACAGUGUAGUUCUUUUAAAAGAUGUUAACCGAAGAUUACUGCUGUCGCCGCUUGGUCAAACAAAGACGCUAAGGAUCCUUGCCAAAAUGCUAAUAUCCUUAUGUGGCAUAAGUCCCAAAUUAAUGGUCUUUGAGCCGGCGGCGCGACGGCACUGCCCACUUUACGUGACAUUUGUGGUAGCCUAAGCCGGGCUGAAAGCGGCUCAAAAGGCUUAAGCCGCAACUGCCGACUCAUAAAAAGGAUAAACGCUCGGCAUGAGUCAGCAGGCCGACCCACCGACGGGUGCUUCCGCGAAAUGCGACACCGGAGGCAGGUCCACUCACAAAGGACCGCCGAGAUGCGACAAAAAAUGAGAUACUGCACCGAGGUGUCGCAGAACGUCUCGAUUUUUCCCAUAUUUUUAACCCAAAAAUUGCUCCGUGUCCAAGUCAGCUGGCGGGGCCAACAGAAGGCCGAUUACAAGGUGUGUCAUCUGCCGCACAAUAGGAAAUAUAAAUCCUUUCGUUUUAUUACAACGACGUAAAAAACUCGAAAACAAGCGAGGCAGCCGGGAGUGCCAGUGGGACUUCCGGCAGGGUACAAAAUAUUCGACUGAAGGACGGCUGCUCGGCACGAGCGGGGGAUGCAACCCUUUGGCACGGGCCGGAAUCGGGACUCCCUUCGAGAUUGAGAUGGUGAAAGAUGAUCGCCACAGUCCUUGGCACGGGCUUGUUAAAGGAAGGGGACUUAGGGCCUACAAUGAGUUGAAUCGAGACCUUGAAAAUUGAAAAAAUCUCUAAUCGUCCCCCACUCGAAACCAAUCCAAACUCUUCAUAUUAUCAAUAUUUUCCGAUUUCUAGAUGGAUAGAGAAAAAUAUUUUUAAGUGGCAACUAUUUGUCAUGACUUUAAAGAUAAUUCAUUGUAAUGGUCAAUUAUUGAUUAUAUGAUAUGUGUUUUGAUAAUCUAAUAACACGUUUCAACUGGUUCUAUUUUAUUACGUUUUAAG